CAGUCGCCGCGGUAACACCGAGGGUGCGAGCGUUAAUCGGAUUUACUGGGCGUAAAGCGUGCGUAGGCGGCUAAUUGAGUCGGAUGUGAAAUCCCAGAGCUUAACUUGGGAAUUGCAUUCGAUACUGGUUAGCUAGAGUGUGGGAGAGGAUGGUAGAAUUCCAGGUGUAGCGGUGAAAUGCGUAGAGAUCUGGAGGAAUACCGAUGGCGAAGGCAGCCAUCUGGCCUAACACUGACGCUGAGGUACGAAAGCAUGGGGAGCAAACAGGAUUAGAUACCCCCGUAGUCCCUGUCUCUUAUAC
This 301-nucleotide ribosomal RNA is filed under the name uncultured bacterium. Its description in RNAcentral is "partial 16S ribosomal RNA". It matches the Rfam family "Bacterial small subunit ribosomal RNA", at positions 509 to 807 of the family's 1533-position model. The record is from RNAcentral.